RNAcentral lists this ribosomal RNA (447 nucleotides) under uncultured bacterium. RNAcentral's name for it is "bacterial SSU rRNA". It matches the Rfam family "Bacterial small subunit ribosomal RNA", at positions 330 to 793 of the family's 1533-position model. The record is from RNAcentral.
UCCAAACUCCUACGGGAGGCAGCAGUGGGGGAUAUUGCACAAUGGGGGGAACCCUGAUGCAGCGACGCCGCGUGGGUGAAGGAGUAUUUCGGUAUGUAAAGCCCUAUCGGCAGGGAAGAAGCAAGACGGUACCUGACUAAGAAGCCCCGGCUAACUACGUGCCAGCAGCCGCGGUAAUACGUAGGGGGCGAGCGUUAUCCGGAUUCACUGGGUGUAAAGGGAGCGUAGACGGCCAUGCAAGCCAGGGGUGAAAGCCCGGGGCCCAACCGCGGGACUGCAUUGGGAACUACCGGGCUGGAGUGCCGGAGAGGUAGGCGGAAUUCCUAGUGUAGCGGUGAAAUGCGUAGAUAUUAGGAGGAACGCCAGUGGCGAAGGCGGCCUACUGGACGGUGACUGACGCUGAGGCUCGAAAGCGUGGGGAGCAAACAGGAUUAGAUACCCCGGUAC